ACUGGAGGACUAAUCAGAUGGAGUCCGAAGAGUGAGACUCGGUUAAUACUAGCCUCCUAAAAGAAAAGGAUUGGAGAGAGCAGUCCUACUUAUAGAAAAGCAAAGGGCUGACUGCACUGUCCGACAUUA
This is a non-coding RNA of Apteryx haastii (Great spotted kiwi), 129 nucleotides long. The record is from Ensembl. Lineage: Eukaryota; Metazoa; Chordata; Aves; Apterygiformes; Apterygidae.